This 446-nucleotide ribosomal RNA is filed under the name uncultured bacterium. RNAcentral's name for it is "partial 16S ribosomal RNA". It matches the Rfam family "Bacterial small subunit ribosomal RNA", at positions 338 to 795 of the family's 1533-position model. The record is from RNAcentral.
CCUACGGGUGGCAGCAGUCGAGAAUCAUUCACAAUGGGGGAAACCCUGAUGGUGCGACGCCGCGUGGGGGAAUGAAGGUCUUCGGAUUGUAAACCCCUGUCAUGUGGGAGCAAAUUAAAAAGAUAGUACCACAAGAGGAAGAGACGGCUAACUCUGUGCCAGCAGCCGCGGUAAUACAGAGGUCUCAAGCAUUGUUCGGAAUCACUGGGCGUAAGGCGUGCGUAGGCUGUUUCGUAAGUCGUGUGUGAAAGGCGCGGGCUCAACCCGCGGACGGCACAUGAUACUGCGAGACUAGAGUAAUGGAGGGGGAACCGGAAUUCUCGGUGUAGCAGUGAAAUGCGUAGAUAUCGAGAGGAACACUCGUGGCGAAGGCGGGUUCCUGGACAUUAACUGACGCUGAGGCACGAAGGCCAGGGGAGCGAAAGGGAUUAGAUACCCGAGUAGUC